RNAcentral lists this ribosomal RNA (460 nucleotides) under uncultured bacterium. RNAcentral's name for it is "partial 16S ribosomal RNA". It matches the Rfam family "Bacterial small subunit ribosomal RNA", at positions 338 to 795 of the family's 1533-position model. The record is from RNAcentral.
CCUACGGGCGGCAGCAGUGAGGAAUAUUGGUCAAUGGACGAGAGUCUGAACCAGCCAAGUAGCGUGAAGGAUGACUGCCCUAUGGGUUGUAAACUUCUUUUAUAUGGGAAUAAAACGUUCCACGUGUGGGAUUUUGUAUGUACCAUAUGAAUAAGGAUCGGCUAACUCCGUGCCAGCAGCCGCGGUAAUACGGAGGAUCCGAGCGUUAUCCGGAUUUAUUGGGUUUAAAGGGAGCGUAGGUGGAUUGUUAAGUCAGUUGUGAAAGUUUGCGGCUCAACCGUAAAAUUGCAGUUGAAACUGGCAGUCUUGAGUACAGUAGAGGUGGGCGGAAUUCGUGGUGUAGCGGUGAAAUGCUUAGAUAUCACGAAGAACUCCGAUUGCGAAGGCAGUUCACUGGACUGCAACUGACACUGAGGCUCGAAAGUGUGGGUAUCAAACAGGAUUAGAUACCUGAGUAGUC